Caenorhabditis elegans is the source of this 217-nucleotide non-coding RNA. Lineage: Eukaryota; Metazoa; Nematoda; Chromadorea; Rhabditida; Rhabditidae. The record is from Ensembl.
UACAAACCUGUGUUUUACGGGCAGGGAGGGGCAAUCAAGUGAGCGAGAAAUGCAUGAGCGUGAGCUAACAAAUGACCGUAUCAGUGGCACUAUAUUCUUGAGUGCUUUUUCGGAUGGGCACAAAAUAAGUGAAAGAAAAGCUCUUGAAUGGAUACGGAAAAUCAACGAAAAAACGAGAUGAAGACGGAAAGAUCACUAAGUUCGGGGUUUAGAGUUG